This 332-nucleotide ribosomal RNA is filed under the name Acidithiobacillus ferrooxidans. Its description in RNAcentral is "partial 16S ribosomal RNA". It matches the Rfam family "Bacterial small subunit ribosomal RNA", at positions 49 to 386 of the family's 1533-position model. Lineage: Bacteria; Pseudomonadati; Pseudomonadota; Acidithiobacillia; Acidithiobacillales; Acidithiobacillaceae. The record is from RNAcentral.
CUACCAUGCAGUCGUACGGUGACAGGCGCUACGGAUGCUGACGAGUGGCGGACGGGUGAGUAAUGCGUAGGAAUCUGUCUUUUAGUGGGGGACAACCCAGGGAAACUUGGGCUAAUACCGCAUGAGCCCUGAGGGGGAAAGCGGGGGAUCUUCGGACCUCGCGCUAAGGGAAGAGCCUACGUCUGAUUAGCUAGUUGGUAGGGUAAAGGCCUACCAAGGCGACGAUCAGUAACUGGUCUGAGAGGACGACCAGCCACACUGGGACUGGAGACACGGCCCGACUCCUACGGGAGGCAGCAGUGGGGAAUUUUUCGCAUGGGGGGGAGCCCGGG